GAUGAACGCUAGCUACAGGCUUAACACAUGCAAGUCGAGGGGAAACGAUAGAGAAAGCUUGCUUUUUCUAGGCGUCGACCGGCGCACGGGUGAGUAACGCGUAUCCAACCUGCCCACCACUUGGGGAUAACCUUGCGAAAGUAAGACUAAUACCCAAUGACGUCUCUAGAAGGCAUCUGAAAGGGAUUAAAGAUUUAUCGGUGAUGGAUGGGGAUGCGUCUGAUUAGCUUGUUGGCGGGGUAACGGCCCACCAAGGCUACGAUCAGUAGGGGUUCUGAGAGGAAGGUCCCCCACAUUGGAACUGAGACACGGUCCAAACUCCUACGGGAGGCAGCAGUGAGGAAUAUUGGUCAAUGGACGGGAGUCUGAACCAGCCAAGUAGCGUGCAGGAUGACGGCCCUAUGGGUUGUAAACUGCUUUUAUACGGGAAUAAAGUGGGCCACGCGUGGUCUUUUGCAUGUACCGUAUGAAUAAGGACCGGCUAAUUCCGUG
This 492-nucleotide ribosomal RNA is filed under the name uncultured bacterium. Its description in RNAcentral is "bacterial SSU rRNA". It matches the Rfam family "Bacterial small subunit ribosomal RNA", at positions 28 to 507 of the family's 1533-position model. The record is from RNAcentral.